UUUGGAUCACGAAACGAUCGCAGGCGUUGGGCGCGGGAGAUUCGGACGCGGAUACUUGACUGGGACUCGGAUGAUUGCGAAUCCCGGAAGAAUCGGAUGCUGGUUCGGAGGAUGCGGAAAUGGGAAGCUUCACGGGAGAAGCUGGAGCGUGGACGCUCGGUGGUAGCUUGGGAGAUCUGAACCGUGGAUGGCUCGCGGAAGAUGCUUGCAGACGU
Molecule: long non-coding RNA, 215 nt
Filed under: Phoenix dactylifera (date palm)
Lineage: Eukaryota; Viridiplantae; Streptophyta; Magnoliopsida; Arecales; Arecaceae
Description: long non-coding RNA (PDAC_LNC018812)
Source: RNAcentral